This 406-nucleotide ribosomal RNA is filed under the name uncultured bacterium. Its description in RNAcentral is "partial 16S ribosomal RNA". It matches the Rfam family "Bacterial small subunit ribosomal RNA", at positions 30 to 526 of the family's 1533-position model. The record is from RNAcentral.
AUUGAACGCUGGCGGCAGGCCUAACACAUGCAAGUCGAACGAGUGGCGGACGGGUGCGUAAUGUCUGGGAAAUUGCCCGAUGGAUGGGGAUAACUACUGGAAAAGGUAGCUAAUACCGCCUACCAUCGGAUGUGCCCAGAUGGGCUUAGCUAGUAGGUGGGGUAAAGGCUCACCUAGGCGACGAUCCCUAGCUGGUAUGAGAGGAUGAACAGGCACACUGGAACUUAGACACUGUCCAGACUCCUACGGGAGGAAGCAGUGGGGAAUAUUGGACAAUGGGCGAAAGCCUGAUGCAGCCAUGCCGCGUGUAUGAAGAAGGCCUUCGGGUUGUAAAGUACUUUCAGCGGGGAGGCGUUACCCACAGAAGAAGCACCGGCUAACUCCGUGCCAGCAGCCGCGGUAAUAC